AGAGGAGAGGGAGGAUCUCCUCAUCGAGGACUACAGUAGUGUAGAGUGUGGACGAAGAAGGAGGAGGAAGAUACUGCAGCCUUCAGCCGGGUCCCCCCUCUCGCUCUUCUCCCAUCCUCCUUUCUCUUGCCAAUCCCACCAUCAUGAACCCGCCUGCUGCUUGUUGCUAAGAGUGGAGCCAAGGGGGUGAAGAGAGCCGAGUGGACUGGACCGGCCACUGUUUGCUUUCUAAGGUUCGGGUGAACAUGGCAGAAGGAUCCAAAAAGCGGGCCGGCGUCAUUGAUCCGGACGAGGACUCCCCAAACAUGAUUGUCUACAGAAAGAUUGAGGGCAUCGUCACCAGGAUCCAAGAUGAGAAAGCAGGAGGAGUUGCCAUAAGGACUGUUAAGAGCUUUCUGUCCAAAAUCCCCAGUGUUGUAUCAGGGGCGGACAUUGUUCAGUGGCUGAUGAAAAACCUCUCCAUAGAAGAUCCAGCUGAGGCCAUCCACCUUGGAAGUUUGAUCGCAGCCCACGGCUACAUCUUCCCCAUCUAUGACCAUGUCCUGAUGCUCAAAGAUGACGGAACUCUUUAUCGCUUUCAGUCUCCAUACUUCUGGCCUUCAAAUUGCUGGGAGCCUGAGAACACAGACUAUGCCAUCUACCUGUGCAAGCGCACCAUGCAGAAUAAGGCCAGGCUGGAGCUUGCCGACUAUGAGGCUGAGAACCUUGCUAGACUACAGAGGGCUUUUGCCAGAAAGUGGGAGUUUAUCUUCAUGCAAGCUGAGGCUCAAGUCAAAAUCGACAGAAAGAAGGACAAGGCAGAAAGGAAGAUCCUGGAUAGCCAAGAGAGGGCAUUCUGGGAUGUCCAUCGACCAGUGCCAGGCUGCGUCAACACCACAGAAAUGGAUAUCCGCAAGUGCCGCAGAGAGAAAAACCCACACAGGGUCAAAAAGUCAGUUUAUGGGUUACCUGAUGAUAACCACAGCCAGCCAAGUCCAAUCCACAUGAGCUCUCAGCCCGCCAGGAAGCCCACCAAAGAGGACGUUCAGAAGGAGAUCACCUUCCUCAACAUCCAGCUGGACCGACACUGCUUGAAGGUUUCCAAAGUGGCAGACAGCCUGAUGGGCUACACUGAGCAGUUCAUGGACUACGACCCCUUCGUGUCGCCCACUGAGCCCUCCAACCCUUGGGUCAGUGAUGACUCCUCCUUUUGGGACCUGGAGGCAAGUCGGGAUCCGAGCCAGCAACGGGUGAAGAAGUGGGGCUUCUCCUUAGAGGAAGCUCUAAAAGACACCGCAGGACGAGAACAGUUCCUGAGGUUCUUGGAGUCAGAAUUCAGCUCAGAGAACCUACGAUUUUGGUUAGCGGUGCAGGAUCUGAAGCGACGGCCGCUGCAGGAGGUUGCGUCCCGCGCGCAGGAGAUCUGGCAGGAGUUCUUGGCCGAGGGAGCACCAAGUUCCAUCAACCUGGACUCUCACAGCUACGAGCGCACAAGCCACAACCUGAAGGACCCUGGACGUUACAGCUUUGAGGAUGCUCAGGAGCACAUCUUCACGCUGAUGAAAAGUGACAGCUAUGCACGCUUUUUGAGGUCCAAUGUCUACCAAGACCUCCUGUUUGCGAGAAAGAAGUCAUAAUUGCAACACUCGCCGUGGUUCCUCCACGAGCUAACGACAUCACUGGUCACCUCAUCACCCCCUGUGCCUCACCCAAAAUCCACCAUGCCCUUCCUCCCUGCUCCCACCUCUCGCAGCAGCAGCCUGCCGAUCCCGAACAAGGCCGCCGCACCUCCUUGGAGAAGUUCACCCGCAGCGUGGGCAAGUCACUGACAGGCAAGCGGCUAACGGGUCUCAUGCAGUCAUCCUGACAGACCUUUUGGAGGGAGGAGGGCACAGUUUGCUUCCACAUGAAACGAGGCUGGACGUCGUCACGCCACCAUAUUGAAUGCUCAGAGGACUGCCGCCGUACUGGUCACAUAGCGUUGAGCCGACUGGGACAGAUGCUAAGAGCAGGAACAGGAAGUGAGCACACAACAUGCAACAUACGCUACAGCCUUGUUAAAUAACCUGUUUAUAUUCAUAUUAUUUUCUAUAUGAGUGUAUUGUGUAUCAUGUUAAAAGCACAUUUUUUGUGUGUGUGUGUGGGACUCGGGGGGGGUCUACAAAAGCUCCUUCACACAAAUGUUUAUUUGCCCUGAACUCAACACAGGUCCUUUUUAUUUGCCAGCAAUAAAGGGAGCGUGAGACCACUUACUUUAUCUUCAUUUUUCAAUAGAUUUUGUCUUUUUUUUUCUGCCACUGUACUAUGUAGCAUGAGGGUCCUGCUGUCUUGCUGUCUGUCUUUUAGGAAUCUGCGGGAAAACACAUUUUGAUCCAAACUUGCAGGUCGAUUUGAGGUCAUUCAAGGGCCGGACUUUGCCCUAAGGCCGCCAGUUGAAAAGCCUGCUGUCUGACAUGUACUGCAUGCAGGGGCGUCGAAGUGGAGGAGUAAGUAGGGAUGUUACACAUGCUUUGGUAAAAAAAAAUGUUUUCUUUCUGUCAUUUAUAAUAAUGUCAUAAAUAUUAAUGUAACAUUAAUAUAGCCAUGAAAGUAAAAAAAAAUAAGAUAUUUUAAAUCAAAUUAAGAAUGUGUAACUACCUACAGCAGUGGUUCUCAAACUUUUUUCACCAAGAACCACCUCAUAAAAAAAACUUGGCUCUCUAAGUAUGACCAACAUUAACAACCUCCCAGGACCCUGCAUUCACAUAUGGGGACUUCACGAUUUCAAAUGUGUGGGCCACAAUACUACAUUUUGCUCUCUAAGGGCCUGGUGUCCACUUACAAGGACGUUAUACUGCUACUUAGUGGUGGAAGAAGGGUAUAACACAUUGCAGGUUAUAUUCAAGAUGACUGACAACACCACAAAAAUACCCACCUGGUAAAAAAUUCCACCAAAUUUCUUGGAUAAUUCUUGUUCAAUGUUGGUUAUUACAGUUAAACUUUUACAAAAGUUAUUAACUGUAACAAUUAACCGUGCCGUUAAACAUGAUGUACACAUAUGUGGACAGAAAGACUUAGUUUUGAUAAUUUUGUGAACAAAGGAAGUUCUUUUUUAAAAUGUAUUUUGGGAUAAUUUUGUUUAAAACAUUUUGGUUACUAUAGUACAAGACCAUAUGACAUGUUAUAUAAAUAAAUCUAUAUAGAUUUUAAUUAGAUUUUUCUCUGUGUUUUUUUAUUUAUUUUCAGGGCGUUAUUCUGUGUCACAAGUACUCGGGGGGUUAAUUUAGGGAGAUAAAUCAGAGGGGAAGAUUUGUCAGACAUUGUUGAUCCCGUGGGGGAUUCCGUUCACGAGAGCUUGUCCGUGGCAACAAUAUCUGCCAAUAGCUGAUGUUAUUGUGCUGGACUUUGACAUUUACCAAGGUGUAUACAUGCACCUCAUGAGCAGGUUGAAGAACCAGGGGAUCUGAGUUUGGGAAGCUGGGUUAUAGCUUGUCUGUCUCAAGCUCUGCAUGUUCACACAAAAGUGUUUGGUGAUUGGUUUUUCACAUCCAUUCAAUGUGCGGAACACAUGAUGAAGAAACAGGUGUACUUAUCUGGUACAGUAAUGAAGAAUCGGGUCGCCGAAGCAGUACAGAAGCUACCCACUGACAAAAAAAUUAAAGCAGACAUAUGAUGUACCAGCACAAAUUACCACUGAGGAUGGAAAGAUUUGCAUGGUGAAGUGGUAUGACAAUAAACUGAUAUUGAUGAUGUCUGCUGUUCAUAGGGGCAGCGUAGCUCGAUUGGUAGAGCGGCCGUGCCAGCAACCUGAGGGUUCUAGGUUCGAUCCCCGCUUCUGCCAUCCUCGUCACAGCUGUUGUGUCUUUGGGCAAGACACUUCACCCACUUGCUCCCAGUUCCACCCACACUGGUUAAAAAAUGUAACUUAGAUAAUGGGUUCCACUAUGUAAAGCGCUUUGGGUCACUAGAGAAAAGUGCUAUAUAAAUAUAAUUCACUUCACUUCAUGCUAGAGAGCCAGAAGACACCUUCCAGAGAUUGGACAAAAACUGUAAAGAUUUGUGACUAUCUCACGACCAAGUAUUGGGUGGAGUUGACUUUGUCGAUAGAAUUACGAUUAUUACUAUCGCAUGAAUGGCCGUACAAUGAAAUGGACACUGCGGAUGCUAUUGCACUUUACCGAUCUGGUGUUAGCCAACAGCUGGUUAAUGUACACUAAAGACACUUCAAAAAAGAACGUCACGCAGUUCCUUGAAUUUCGAAUGGAAGUGGCCAUGACCUUCUUGAGUCAGCAUGACAAUGACAACUGUGAUUUUUCAGAGCAGAAGGAUGACCCAGAUGUUUCUGUCCAGGAGAAAAGGCGCCCAGACCAUGUCUCAGUUCGCAGGAGGGUGGUAAACUUGAAAAAUGCAGUACGCUGCAGAGCAAAAUGCUGCUCAGGAAAAAAACUUGAAUGCAUUGUAAUACAUGCAAGGUGUUCCUCUGCUUACAGACAGAUGGCAACUGUUACACAGCCUUUCACACAUAGGUGUAAAGAUGUUUCUGUGGGGGAAAAAAAAGUUUAAAGUCAUAGUUUGGUAGUGUAAGUAAAAUUAAUUUUGUUUCAUGACAUGUUCAUGCUGCUGUG
This is an RNA transcript of Entelurus aequoreus (snake pipefish), 4583 nucleotides long. It is a transcript of the gene named regulator of G-protein signaling 6-like, with no coding region annotated. The transcript has 17 exons. The record is from RefSeq and is a predicted model, not a curated record. NCBI's taxonomy places the organism in Eukaryota, Metazoa, Chordata, Actinopteri, Syngnathiformes, Syngnathidae.